This 215-nucleotide ribosomal RNA is filed under the name Methanococcus voltae. Its description in RNAcentral is "partial 23S ribosomal RNA". It matches the Rfam family "Archaeal large subunit ribosomal RNA", at positions 1518 to 1730 of the family's 2987-position model. Lineage: Archaea; Methanobacteriati; Methanobacteriota; Methanococci; Methanococcales; Methanococcaceae. The record is from RNAcentral.
GGUUAAUAUUCCUGUGCCGUUCAAAUACGUGUGGUAACACAAGGUCAAUUUCUGACGCUUUGGGAUAAGUUUUGUAUUUUUGUCUGAGUAUUCAAGCUUAUAAAUCCGAGGAGAAUUGUAAUAAUGAGAAUCGGAUGAAAGAGUAAUGAGUNUUCCUUUAGGAGAAUUUAACUGAUUCCUNGANCGCGUGAAANNGGGAAUUGACNAGGAUUCUU